RNAcentral lists this ribosomal RNA (468 nucleotides) under uncultured bacterium. Its description in RNAcentral is "partial 16S ribosomal RNA". It matches the Rfam family "Bacterial small subunit ribosomal RNA", at positions 28 to 507 of the family's 1533-position model. The record is from RNAcentral.
GACGAACGCUGGCGGCGUGCUUAACACAUGCAAGUCGAACGGAAGGGCCCUGCUUUUGUGGGGUGCUCGAGUGGCGAACGGGUGAGUAACACGUGAGUAACCUGCCCUUGACUUUGGGAUAACUUCAGGAAACUGGGGCUAAUACCGGAUAGGAGCUCCUGCUGCAUGGUGGGGGUUGGAAAGUUUCGGCGGUUGGGGAUGGACUCGCGGCUUAUCAGCUUGUUGGUGGGGUAGUGGCUUACCAAGGCUUUGACGGGUAGCCGGCCUGAGAGGGUGACCGGCCACAUUGGGACUGAGAUACGGCCCAGACUCCUACGGGAGGCAGCAGUGGGGAAUAUUGCACAAUGGGCGGAAGCCCGAUGCAGCAACGCCGCGUGCGGGAUGACGGCCUUCGGGUUGUAAACCGCUUUCGCCUGUGACGAAGCGUGAGUGACGGUAAUGGGUAAAGAAGCACCGGCUAACUACGUG